UACGUAGGGUGCGAGCGUUGUCCGGAAUUACUGGGCGUAAAGAGCUCGUAGGCGGUGUGUCGCGCCGGCCGUGAAAACCUGCAGCUUAACUGUGGGCUUGCGGUCGAUACGGGCAUCACUGGAGUUCGGCAGGGGAGACUGGAAUUCCUGGUGUAGCGGUGAAAUGCGCAGAUAUCAGGAGGAACACCGGUGGCGAAGGCGGGUCUCUGGGCCGAUACUGACGCUGAGGAGCGAAAGCGUGGGGAGCGAACAGG
This 254-nucleotide ribosomal RNA is filed under the name uncultured bacterium. RNAcentral's name for it is "partial 16S ribosomal RNA". It matches the Rfam family "Bacterial small subunit ribosomal RNA", at positions 524 to 776 of the family's 1533-position model. The record is from RNAcentral.